Molecule: RNA transcript, 5039 nt
Organism: Erinaceus europaeus (western European hedgehog)
Lineage: Eukaryota; Metazoa; Chordata; Mammalia; Eulipotyphla; Erinaceidae
Gene: HNRNPU
Gene name: heterogeneous nuclear ribonucleoprotein U
Exons: 15
Source: RefSeq, a predicted model, not a curated record
CUCCGCGUCUCCCUCGCGAACUCGGUGAAAGGAAUUGGCGCCGUUCGACACCAGGCGGGUCUGCUCUGCAGCACGAACCCACCUCCAGCCGCAGCCUCCGCCGCAGCCUCCGCCGCAGCCUCCGCCUGGGCCGAGAAGCCGCCGCAGCAGCCGCCACUCGUGGCCGAGAGAGCGGAGCCGAAUUUGAGCCAGCGCCUAGCGGUGAAUCGGGGUCUCACCAUGAGUUCCUCGCCUGUUAAUGUAAAAAAGCUGAAGGUGACGGAGCUGAAGGAGGAGCUGAAGAAGCGGCGCCUCUCCGACAAGGGCCUCAAGGCCGACCUCAUGGAGCGGCUCCAGGCCGCGCUGGACGACGAGGCCGGGGGCCGCCCCGCCAUGGAGCCCGGGAACGGCAGCCUCGACCUGGGCGGGGAUUCCGCCGGCCACUCCGGAGCGGGCCUGGAGCAGGAGGCCGCGACCGGCGGCGACGAGGAGGAAGAGGAGGAGGAGGAAGGGGUCGCCGCCUUGGAUGGCGACCAGAUGGAGGUAGGGGAGGAGGAGGAGGCCGCCUCGGAAGGCGAGAACGGCGACGACCAGGGCUUCCAGGAAGGCGAGGACGAGCUCGGGGAGGAGGAGGAAGCCGCGGGCGACGAGAACGGCCACGGCGAGCAGCAGGCUCAACCGCCGGCGACGCCGCAGCAACAGCCCCAGCAGCAGCGCGGGGCCACCAAGGAGGCCGCGGCGAAGAGCGGCCCCACCUCGCUUUUCGCGCUGACGGUGGCGCCGCCCGGGGCGAGGCAGGGCCAGCAGCAGGCGGGAGGAGACGGCAAAACAGAGCAGAAAGGCGGAGAUAAAAAGAGAGGCGUUAAAAGACCUCGAGAAGAUCAUGGCCGUGGAUAUUUUGAGUACAUUGAAGAGAACAAGUACAGCAGAGCCAAAUCUCCUCAACCACCUGUUGAAGAAGAAGACGAACACUUCGAUGACACGGUGGUUUGUCUUGAUACUUAUAAUUGUGAUCUACAUUUUAAAAUCUCGAGAGAUCGCCUUAGUGCUUCUUCCCUUACCAUGGAAAGUUUUGCUUUUCUUUGGGCUGGAGGAAGAGCAUCUUAUGGAGUGUCUAAAGGCAAAGUCUGUUUUGAGAUGAAGGUUACAGAGAAGAUCCCAGUAAGACACUUAUAUACAAAAGAUAUUGACAUACAUGAAGUUCGGAUUGGCUGGUCACUAACCACAAGUGGAAUGUUGCUUGGUGAAGAAGAAUUUUCUUACGGAUAUUCUUUAAAAGGAAUAAAAACUUGCAACUGUGAGACUGAAGACUAUGGAGAGAAGUUUGAUGAAAAUGAUGUUAUUACAUGUUUUGCUAACUUUGAAAGUGAGGAAGUAGAACUCUCCUAUGCUAAGAACGGACAAGAUCUUGGUGUUGCCUUCAAAAUAAGUAAGGAAGUUCUUGCUGGACGGCCGAUCUUCCCACAUGUUCUCUGCCACAACUGUGCAGUUGAAUUUAACUUUGGUCAGAAGGAAAAGCCAUAUUUCCCAAUUCCUGAAGAGUACACUUUUAUCCAGAACGUCUCCCUAGAGGAUAGAGUUAGAGGACCAAAAGGACCUGAGGAGAAGAAAGAUUGUGAAGUUGUUAUGAUGAUUGGCUUGCCAGGAGCUGGAAAAACUACCUGGGUUACUAAACAUGCAGCAGAGAAUCCUGGUAAAUACAAUAUUCUUGGAACAAAUACCAUUAUGGAUAAAAUGAUGGUGGCAGGUUUUAAGAAGCAAAUGGCCGAUACUGGAAAAUUGAACACAUUGUUGCAGAGAGCUCCACAAUGUCUUGGGAAGUUUAUUGAGAUUGCUGCCCGCAAGAAGCGGAAUUUCAUUCUGGAUCAGACAAAUGUGUCUGCUGCUGCCCAGAGGAGAAAAAUGUGCCUCUUUGCUGGCUUCCAACGAAAGGCUGUGGUGGUUUGCCCAAAAGAUGAAGACUAUAAGCAAAGAACACAGAAAAAAGCAGAAGUAGAGGGGAAAGAUCUCCCAGAACAUGCAGUCCUCAAAAUGAAAGGGAACUUUACUCUGCCAGAGGUAGCUGAGUGCUUUGAUGAAAUAACCUAUGUUGAACUUCAGAAGGAAGAAGCCCAGAAACUUUUGGAGCAAUAUAAAGAAGAAAGCAAAAAAGCUCUUCCACCAGAAAAGAAGCAGAACACUGGAUCAAAGAAGAGCAAUAAAAACAAGAGCGGCAAGAACCAAUUUAAUAGAGGCGGCCAUAGAGGACGAGGUGGUUUUAACAUGCGUGGUGGAAACUUCAGAGGAGGAGCUCCUGGUAACCGUGGUGGAUAUAAUAGAAGGGGCAAUAUGCCACAGAGAGGUGGUGGUGGUGGUGGAAGCGGUGGAAUUGGCUAUCCAUACCCUCGUGGCCCUAUUUUCCCAAGCCGAGGUGGUUAUUCAAACAGAGGGAACUACAACAGAGGUGGAAUGCCCAACAGAGGGAACUACAACCAGAACUUCAGAGGACGAGGAAACAAUCGUGGCUACAAAAAUCAAUCUCAGGGCUACAACCAGUGGCAGCAGGGUUCUGUCCAUGUGAAUGUGCUGUGUGGAAGAGUAAAAGGGCCCAACUAAAUGUGUUCCUGUGAUUCUAAUAGGUACUUAAUAUUAAUUGCUGCUUGUACAUCUCUUAACACUUGCUGCUGUUGAGCUUUCAGGGUCAUCUGUAGCUUCCCUUAUUUUUUGAUUCUUGCCAAGGCUUCACACUCUAGCCAUAUUUCUUUCUUCAUGUGGAGAAACCAUAUAGCACUGAAUCUUAACCAACUUUUCUUGUAAGAUGACCAAGAGGAAAAUUGUCAAAAACCAAGUUUGGUAUGUCUUAAGAACUUGGUUUCACAAAAUUUGUACUUGGACUAAAUCCUAGUAGCUUACAUAGAGUUGGAAAAUAGUUGCAGUCCUUUUGGAUAGCAAACCGAUGAAACCCAUGCCAAAGUAAAUAAAAUCAACUAAGAUGUAAUCUUUAAAUUGUAUAAAGGCAUAGUGUGAACUAUGUGGUGCAGACAUUUCUUAUUGCCCUGAAAUUACUUAACAAAUUUAGGCACUGAAUUUUGGUCUUAACAUUCUAAAAGUUGUGAGAGAAUAUUUGGGUGCUGUACCAUAAAUAGGACUGUUUCUGGGCACACUUAGAAGAGUGUAGUGGCUACUAAAGAAUAGCCACCUCAGUUUCAGAGGAAAGGGUAAACAACUUCAGAAGUAAACUUUGAAUUUAGAUAGCAAGGCAUGUGUUUCACUUCACAGUCCUGAGAAGAUUGCAUGCUUUAAAGAGAAUAGGUUGAACACCUGAGGGCAAACUACAUGUAAUGAUUGAUUUAAAAAAAUGGAAUAGGUAACACCUAAAUUGAUAAAAAAAAAUUUUUAAAGUGAACAGAGACCUUUUAAGAUAAGUACCUUAUUGAUGAAUGUCAUUGAAAAGACUGUUAACACUGACCUAAAGUGUUCUUACUAACAAAUUCAGAAAUAUUCACCUCUUAACAGUUUCUUUUAAAAAGUAUUUAAAGAUGGAUCUUAAUUAUGAAAUAAGCUGUAAGCUACCAAUAUUUGGGUGACAGAAGAUGUUACACUGACCUGAUUGAUGACCACUGGACUAUAUCUUAAGAUAUAUUUAAAACUACAUUAUAGAGAACCAUUAAAAACUAGAAUUACAGCAAUCGUUUUAUAAUUUUUCUACUUUCCUCAUUAAGGUUUUCUGCUUACCCAGAGUAUAGUGUUUACCUUAUUAUGACCUUUUAAGGGGCACCAUGACCCCCAUCUGGCAGAGAUUUUUAUCUAAGAAUAGAAGGAUUCAAACUUUAUUUGAUCCCUAGCUCUUUGCUGAAAAGUGCAUAAACAGGAAUCCUGAAUAUAUUAUAUAGACCUCCUCGCAUUAUAUAAUCGAAGCAAAGGGAAACCAGCGAUGGAGUAGAGGUACGUAGACUAAAGAGGUGCUUGCAAAUCAAAUAUGGAACUAGGGAUAGUUAAAAUGUCCUGUUGCCAAAUUUGGUCAAUAUAAUCACAAGUUCAGGAAAAAGUUACUUUUAGAUGCCCUGAGGUCCUUUGAGAUAUAAAAUAAGGAAAACCUAAUAAUGGGAGGGGUGAGGGAAGGGGAUAUGCAUAAAGCACUGGAAAGAUUUAACAAGAUAGAUAAUAAGCUGCAAUUUUUUUAAAAAGCUAAUAACACACUUCUAUUUUAAUCAGCUAUUUAGCUGGUACCUACUGCAAUAUCACCUAGUGUGAAAUGGACCAAUGAAGAAAGGUCAGCUGAGAAGGCUCCAAGUAGACAUGGAAGGUAGAUCUCCAGUCUCCUGUGAAAAGAAGCUGAACUUGUUAUUGAAGGCCUUGGGAAGUUUCUUUACCAGGCAAGAGGUUUCUCUUACUCAGGGUAAGAUGGUAAUUGUACUAUGCUAGAGAGUAGCUAGGAAGGAACAUAAACUACUUAAUCCAGUUCCCCAGUUUUGCAUGUUUGCUUACUGAAGCUAGAACAGAAGUAGACCAAGAGCUUUAUUUUAAAUAUACCUGAUCAACACUUACCAAUUUCCAACUUAAGUGGUGCUGUCCUAAAAUUGAGUAACUCAAACUGAAAAGUAAUUUUAAACAAUUUGGUCAUAAUUAAGAGUGGUGGCCAGAUGAUCUUGUAAAUUUUGCCUUUGCCUUUCUAAUACUCUUUCUUAAUGUCAUCCUUUGGCCCCCAGACGUCUUUGACAUUGUUAGUCCCUAGCAGUUUGGGCAUUUUGUAAACCACACAGACCUUGCACCUAAAUCCUCAUGACAGCCAUAGGAGGAAGACAAAGGAGAGAAAUUUGUUCCUUCUUGUGAACUGAAGUGAAACAAAACCCAUCUAUCCUUGGAAUAAGGAUAUAGAACAAAUGCUUCAAGAGAUCUCUUGGCUCUAUUUCUCUAGGGCACUGUGAGAGGACUGGUAGUAAUGACUGGUCCUGGCCACUGGUGUCCUAUUUCUUAGGAGCUUGUCCUACUGAGAAUUUUCUGUUACAUUAAAACCAAAACCAUUAUUUCAUUGCUUUAAAAGGGAGAAUAUUUGAAUGAAUAAACAUUACUGACUUGGG